Non-coding RNA from Pelobates cultripes (western spadefoot toad), 676 nucleotides. The record is from the annotation of a GenBank genome assembly. NCBI's taxonomy places the organism in Eukaryota, Metazoa, Chordata, Amphibia, Anura, Pelobatidae.
UGAGGUGAAUAGUGCUAUAUCUAAAACCCAGAAGUUGAAAACACCAGGUCCAGAUGGAUUUUCUAAUCUGUUUUUUCAUACUUAUAAAUCUAUUUUGAGUAAACAAUUAGCAUCAACGUUUAAUAAUGCGGUUCAAAUAGGAAGUUUUCCUGAAGAGAUGACUAGAGCUAAUAUGCUCCCCAUCCUGAAACAAGGAAAAGAUCCAACUAUUGUGGCUAGUUAUCGCCCUAUCUCUCUAAUUAAUUCAGACGUAAAAAUAUUCUCAUCUAUAUUGGCAGACCGCCUUAAGAGUAUCAUUAAUAAGCUCAUUCACAAUGAUCAAAUAGGUUUUAUUCCAGAUAGAUGGGUAGGCUCUAAUUCAAGAAGAAUCAUAGAUAUAAUUGAUAAUGCUAAUAAGAAACAUAUUCCUCUUAUGACCUUAGCAGUUGAUGCAGAAAAAGCCUUCGAUAGGUUAAAUUGGAAGUUUUUAGAAUUAACUUUAGAAGCAUAUGGAAUAGAAGGCUGGUUGUUAAGAGGAAUUAUGGCUUUAUAUAAAAAUCCUUCAACUAGAAUAGUAGGCCCAAAUAUUUGUUCAGACUGGGUAUCAGUAAACAAUGGGGUGAGACAAGGAUGCCCACUUUCGCCAUUACUAUAUGUUCUUUCAAUAGAGCGCCUAGUGGAAAAUAUUAGGAAAAAU